UGAAUACGAGACGCUAAGGCGUUGAAGUAGUGUAUAUCAUACUUCCAAGAAAAGCUUGCACUGUCAUAGAUAAAAAACGCCUGUACCAUAACCGACACAGGUGGGUAGGUAGAGUAUACUAAGGGGCGCGAGAUAACUCUCUCUAAGGAACUCGGCAAAAUAACUCCGUAACUUCGGGAGAAGGAGUGCCUUAUUUAUAAGGUUGCAAUAACAAGAUCCAAGCAACUGUUUAUCAAAAACACAGGUCUCCGCUAAGUCGUAAGACGAUGUAUGGGGGCUGACGCCUGCCCAGUGCCAGAAGGUUAAAGAAGUUGGUUAGCAAUAGCGAAGCUGAUAACUGAAGCCCUGGUGAACGGCGGCCGUAACAAUAACGGUCCUAAGGUAGCGAAAUUCCUUGUCGGGUAAGUUCCGACCCGCACGAAAGGCGUAAUGAUUUGGAUACUGUCUCGGAGAGGGGCUCGGUGAAAUAGACUUGUCUGUGAAGAUGCGGACUACCUGCACCAGGACAGAAAGACCCUAUGAAGCUUUACUGUAACUUGAAAUUGAAAUUGGACUUUAUUCGCGCAGUAUAGGUGGGAGGCGUUGAUUGUAAUCUUGCGGGAUUAUUGGAGCCAUCAGUGAGAUACCACCCUUGUAAUGUUAGAUUUCUAACUUUGAAUCAUUAUCUGGUCAAAGAACAGUUUCAGGCGUGCAGUUUGACUGGGGCGGUCGCCUCCUAAACGGUAACGGAGGCGUACAAAGGUUUCCUCUGAACGGUUAGAAAUCGUAUCUAGAGUGUAAAGGCAUAAGGAAGCUUGACUGUGAGACCUACAAGUCGAGCAGGGACGAAAGUCGGUCUUAGUGAUCUGACGGUACUGAGUGGAAAGGCCGUCACUCAACGGAUAAAAGUUACUCUAAGGAUAACAGGCUGAUCUCCCCCAAGAGUUCACAUCGACGGGGAGGUUUGGCACCUUGAUGUCGGCUCAUCGCAUCCUGGGGCGGUAGUACGUCCCAAGGGUUGGGCUGUUCGCCCAUGAAAGCGGUACGCGAGCUGGGUUCAGAACGUCGUGAGACAGUUCGGUCCAUAUCCGGUGUAGGCGUUAGAAUAUUGAGAGGAGCCUUCUUUAGUACGAGAGGACCGAGAAGGACAUACCUCUGGUGUACCAGUUAUCGUGCCAACGGUAAACGCUGGGUAGCUAUGUAUGGAGUGGAUAACCGCUGAAAGCAUCUAAGUGGGAAGCCCACCUCAAGAUAGGUAUUCUCAUC
RNAcentral lists this ribosomal RNA (1245 nucleotides) under metagenome. RNAcentral describes it as "bacterial LSU rRNA". It matches the Rfam family "Bacterial large subunit ribosomal RNA", at positions 1564 to 2818 of the family's 2925-position model. The record is from RNAcentral.